AGAGUUUGAUCAUGGCUCAGGACGAACGCUGGCGGUGUGCUUAACACAUGCAAGUCGAGCGGUGAACCACCUUCGGGUGGGGAUCAGCGGCGAACGGGUGAGUAACACGUGGGCAACCUGCCCCGAGCACUGGGAUAACAGUGGGAAACCGCUGCUAAUACCGGAUACGACUACCGACCGCAUGGUCUGGUGGUGGAAAGGAUUCCGGCUCGGGAUGGGCCCGCGGCCUAUCAGCUAGUUGGUGGGGUAAUGGCCUACCAAGGCGACGACGGGUAGCCGGCCUGAGAGGGCGACCGGCCACACUGGGACUGAGACACGGCCCAGACUCCUACGGGAGGCAGCAGUGGGGAAUAUUGCGCAAUGGGCGAAAGCCUGACGCAGCAACACCGCGUGAGGGACGACGGCCUUCGGGUUGUAAACCUCUUUCAGCUCCGACGAAGCGAGAGUGACGGUAGGAGCAGAAGAAGCACCGGCUAACUACGUGCCAGCAGCCGCGGUAAUACGUAGGGUGCAAGCGUUGUCCGGAAUUAUUGGGCGUAAAGAGCUCGUAGGCGGUCCGUUACGUCUGCCGUGAAAACCCGGGGCUCAACCCCGGGCCUGCGGUGGAUACGGGCGGACUAGAGUCCGGUAGGGGAGACUGGAAUUCCUGGUGUAGCGGUGGAAUGCGCAGAUAUCAGGAGGAACACCGGUGGCGAAGGCGGGUCUCUGGGCCGGAACUGACGCUGAGGAGCGAAAGCGUGGGGAGCGAACAGGAUUAGAUACCCUGGUAGUCCACGCCGUAAACGGUGGGCGCUAGGUGUGGGGAUCGUUUCCACGAUCUCCGUGCCGCAGCUAACGCAUUAAGCGCCCCGCCUGGGGAGUACGGCCGCAAGGCUAAAACUUAAAGGAAUUGACGG
Molecule: ribosomal RNA, 896 nt
Filed under: uncultured bacterium
Lineage: Bacteria
Description: bacterial SSU rRNA
Rfam family: Bacterial small subunit ribosomal RNA
Source: RNAcentral